This 442-nucleotide ribosomal RNA is filed under the name uncultured bacterium. RNAcentral describes it as "partial 16S ribosomal RNA". It matches the Rfam family "Bacterial small subunit ribosomal RNA", at positions 338 to 795 of the family's 1533-position model. The record is from RNAcentral.
CCUACGGGUGGCUGCAGUGGGGAAUAUUGGGCAAUGGGCGCAAGCCUGACCCAGCAACGCCGCGUGAAGGAAGAAGGCUUUCGGGUUGUAAACUUCUUUUCUGAGGGACGAAGAAAGUGACGGUACCUCAGGAAUAAGCCACGGCUAACUACGUGCCAGCAGCCGCGGUAAUACGGAGGAUGCGAGCGUUAUCCGGAUUAAUUGGGUGAAAAGGGUGCGUAGGGGGUCCGGAAAGUUAGUGGUAAAAGCCCGGGGCUCAACCCCGGCGCGCCGUUGAAACUGUCGGACUAGAGUCGGGGAGAAGUACGCGGAAUGCGCGGUGUAGCGGUGAAAUGCAUAGAUAUCACGAAGAACUCCGAUUGCGAAGGCAGCGUACCGGAGCCGGACUGACGCUGAGGCACGAAAGCGUGGGUAGCGAACAGGAUUAGAUACCCGUGUAGUC